Marmota flaviventris (yellow-bellied marmot) is the source of this 236-nucleotide long non-coding RNA. RefSeq lists it as uncharacterized. The record is from RefSeq and is a predicted model, not a curated record. Lineage: Eukaryota; Metazoa; Chordata; Mammalia; Rodentia; Sciuridae.
CGCAGCUCUCACUAACUCCUCCAGGGCCUGCACAGAUGUGGUGUCUGUCCCCAGCAAGUGCUUCUCCAGAGAGCAUAGCCAAAGCUGGUGAAUGGCAGAACCAACAUUCUACAUGCCUGGAGCUCACAGAGUAGCCCGGAUGGAUCGCAGUGCAUUAGAAUGGUCAUUGAGUGGAUCUCCUCCAGGUGAGCAUUCAGGGAUCCAGGAUCCUUCCACUUGGUGGCUAUACAGUCCCC